This 1335-nucleotide long non-coding RNA is filed under the name Canis lupus familiaris (dog). RNAcentral describes it as "lncRNA (ENSCAFG00040008727.1)". The record is from RNAcentral. Lineage: Eukaryota; Metazoa; Chordata; Mammalia; Carnivora; Canidae.
AUCAGGGAAAGACCCAGAACAGAGCAGACGGGGAAGGCGGGGGGAAAAGACGAGGACUGGGCCAGGGUGGGACUUGGGUGCACGUGGGGUGCUAGAGGCCUGGCGGCACUGAGAACAGCCCUGUGCCCCUCGACGUGGGUACAGACGCCCGGGGGGGGGGGGGGGCCUUGGUGUCCCGGGGGGAAGGCGCAUCCCGGGACAGCCCCUCUGGCCCUCCCACAGCCCAGAGCCCUCAUCCUUCUGCCGGCGGGUCGCUGCCCCAGAGAGGAGAGGGCCUGGCACCCAGGCCUGGCCGCCGUGGACCGAGGACACCCCAGCCCGUGGACCCGGGAUACCCCAGCCCCAGAGGAAAGCGCCCGCCUGACACCUGGGCACAGUUCCAGCCCCAGGGGCCUCCCGAGAGUACGGCCAGCGGGUGCCGAGACCUGGGCGGGAGGAGCGCGGGGCCAGGACUCGGGCCUCCCACCCGAGAGCAGGUGUAGGCCCCGAGGCGGGUGUGGGCGGCCGGGCACCUCUAAGCCGCAGCCCCAGCCCCAGCCCGAGGCCAGCUAUGGCCUACAUGGCCUCCCACACACUCCUGGCUCGGAGCAGAGCGGGGAAGUGGGGCAGCAGCCUCCAGCCUCUCCCCGCGUGGGGUCCCCCAGGGAAGCCCGGCCCGCGGCAGCACCCUCGCCAGGAAGUCACCAGGGCGCCGGAGCCCAAGACCUGGGCCGCGCAGGUGCACGAGCCACGGAACCCUGGCGAUCCACCUGUGAAACCCGACGCACGCACGACCACAGGCCACGCACUCGCACAGCCCCCCCCGCCCCCUCCCCGUCAACACACGGCCACGUUCCCACACACCACCGUGCACCGCGCACACACACAGAGCCCCUGCACCCCCGCCCCGCCAACACACAGCCACAGUCCCACGCACGACCGUGCGCCCCACUGGACGCAGCUUCAAACAGUAAGGGAGCGUCUGGGCUCCCUGUGGCCUUAGGGCUCUUGGGCAUGUCCUGGAAACCAGAGGCGCUGCAGGGCCUGAUGGCAGCCGAGAGUGGGAGCCGCUGCGAAGGGACAAAAGGGACCCCGGGACCAUGUGUGGCCAGAGGGCAAAGCGGGGCUCGGGCGGCACUUGGGGGUGCCGCGGGGAGAGCGGGCUUUGGCAGGUGCGUGCCCGACCCACGGGGCAGCGACCUGGGCCCACCUGGGGCUGCAGGAGUCCUCCCAGGAGGAUGGUGGGAGAAAGGCUGCUCAGCCCGCAUCCUGGGAGGGGCGCUCCUCACCGCGACUAAACCACAGGUCGUGAAAGAUCAGAUUUUAAUACGUGUGACUGCACGAAAAAUGCUCUGA